This 1496-nucleotide unclassified non-coding RNA is filed under the name Dermacentor andersoni. RNAcentral's name for it is "apoptotic chromatin condensation inducer in the nucleus-like". Lineage: Eukaryota; Metazoa; Arthropoda; Arachnida; Ixodida; Ixodidae. The record is from RNAcentral.
AAUUUACGAUGCUUUGUGCCUGUACAGAUGGAACGUCAAAAGGAGCCUCCCACGCCACCGCCACCACCACCUAGGCCAGCAGCUACAACAGAACGGAGUGUCCCAGCAUUUCAGCGCACUGUAGAGGUGGACAACCGUCUGCCAGCUGGACGUGAAGUAUUGCGUGACCCACGAGAAGUUUUGCGAGACCCCAGAGAGCCCCGGGAAACUAGGGAUCCUCGAGAGCCUAAGGACCCUCGCGAGGCUCGGGCCACUCUUUCAGCGCCCCCAGCACGCUCUGAUAGGAGUCUGAUGGCUGAAAGACAGACAAUCAACAGGCGGCCUGCUGUGCCAAUACGUGAGUGGGACCGGGACAAACUGCGUCAGGAGACACCACCUCCACCACCUGCUGAGCGGGCACCAGCCCCAUCUCGAAAUAGGGCCAGUUCUCCGCCAGACAAGCGAGAACGGCGAGACAAGAAAGUGGCAAAGCGCAAAUCGGAAGAGGACACACCUGCCAAAUUGCUGGAUGAUUUGUUCCGUAAAACAAAGGCGAGCCCUUGCAUCUACUGGCUGCCUCUUACUGAGGAACAGAUAGCACGAAAAGAAGAAGAGCGGAAGCAGCGGCGACAGGAGCGGGAGCGCCGACGGCAGCAGCAGCAACUACAAGAAGAGGAAGAGCGUCGUAAACGAGCCCUUGCUCGUGACAUGGCUGCAAAGACAAAGCAGGAGUCUAAGCGCAGUGGCAGCCAUAGCCCUGUGCGGCGGCGUUAAAAAAUCCUAUGCUGCCAGUGGGCUUCAGCAGCCAAUAGCUAGACAGGCGCCACCGGUUGCUCUGGGAGCCCCAUGCGGGAGACAGGCAGGAUCGACUUGCCUGCCCUCAGGAUCGACUUGCCUGCCCUAUCAGCCCGGCACCAGCACGGGCAAGAUAAAUGGGGAGAGGGCCCUUGGUCGGACUGCUUGCGUGCGGGACCCUAGUUAGCUGCCGGCAAAACUUCCCAAGGGUCGAUGGGCCCAGGCAGGAACACGUCGCAGCAUGCACCACAAUGCCUCAAAUUGUCUCCUGAAAAAACAAACAAAAAAAUCCAGCCUCCUCUUUCAUCGUCAUCACCAUUUUGGAACGGAUCUCAGUUGCUGUUGUUGGAGGGUGCUACUUCUGAAAAACUUUGUGUGCUUCAAACCAAGACUGAAUCCAAGACUGGCAGCUGGUGCAACACUGAUGCCUGUGCUGAUAGACUGUGGUGUUGGACUGCAUCAGCUUCACUUGCACACCUUUGGCACAUGAGACUCCGUUGCAUAAGCAUUGUUAAUUUCCAUCUGUCUCUCUCAGUUUCUUUCUGCCAUUUGUCAGCUUGCAAGAAAUGUGGCUAUGUACUCGUAUCUGCAUUCAUUUCCUAGAGCGACUUCAUGGAUGCACUGCAAAAAUGAGUCUAUGAAACUGUAAAGUCCAAGUUCCCAUCGACUGUUUUGUGCUCAUUCAUAGUGAAGUGUAAGGCCAAUAAAAGUUUAAAGCUUCA